This 457-nucleotide long non-coding RNA is filed under the name Oryza sativa Indica Group (long-grained rice). RNAcentral's name for it is "lncRNA OsMH63_02G014140". The record is from RNAcentral. Lineage: Eukaryota; Viridiplantae; Streptophyta; Magnoliopsida; Poales; Poaceae.
AUGGAAAGAAACAGUGGUGUAACUGGAGGCGUCUUCAGCCUGAAACGAGCUGUGCUUCUCAAAAAUAGUUCCAACAACACAGGAAAAAUAGAAAUGCAAGAGGCAAAGAUCUCACCUUGGAUAGCAUCAAACUCAACAGAGUACUUGUGUUCCAGGAGAGGGGACCUUAGACUUUUGCUCAUCCCAGAAAUCCUCCUGAUGCUGUUCAUCUUCAAGAACAAGCUAUAUGUUCGCUGCAGAAAAAGACUACAAAGAUCACCAGAGGCAUGGAGACUGCGCCUAAGUCACAAAGUUUACGUGAAUACUACUACUCUAAAGAAUACUACUACUCUCAAUCAGCAGUGCAGAUCUUGGGUAGAUGUGGCCAAAGGGAUGGCUGACGAGGCUUCUCUUUGGUAUAAAGCAAACCCAGCGAUUCCUGCAAUUCAGGAGGGAGGGUGUGUUUAGUUCACGCCAA